AGCUCCAAUAGCGUAUAUUAAAGUUGUUGCAGUUAAAAAGCUCGUAGUUGGAUUUGUGCUAGCACCUGUGGACCAAAAUGUUUUGGUUCUACACUGUGUUAGCAUCCUUGGGUGGAACCUGUAGGGCAUUAGUUUGUUCUGCAGAGGAUGCCCAUCUUUUACUGUGAAAAAAUUAGAGUGUUCAAAGCAGGCUUAUGCCGUUGAAUAUAUUAGCAUGGAAUAAUAAGAUAGGACUUGGGUGCUAUUUUGUUGGUUUGCGCACCAAAGUAAUGAUUAAUAGGGACAGUUGGGGGUAUUCGUAUUCCAUUGUCAGAGGUGAAAUUCUUGGAUUUUUGGAAGACGGACUACUGCGAAAGCAUUUACCAAGGAUGUUUUCACUAAUCAAGAACGAAAGUACGCA
Molecule: ribosomal RNA, 400 nt
Filed under: phytoplankton environmental sample
Lineage: Eukaryota
Description: partial small subunit ribosomal RNA
Rfam family: Eukaryotic small subunit ribosomal RNA
Source: RNAcentral